UGGUGGGUAGUUUGACUGGGGCGGUCUCCUCCUAAAGAGUAACGGAGGAGCACGAAGGUUGGCUAAUCCUGGUCGGACAUCAGGAGGUUAGUGCAAUGGCAUAAGCCAGCUUGACUGCGAGCGUGACGGCGCGAGCAGGUGCGAAAGCAGGUCAUAGUGAUCCGGUGGUUCUGAAUGGAAGGGCCAUCGCUCAACGGAUAAAAGGUACUCCGGGGAUAACAGGCUGAUACCGCCCAAGAGUUCAUAUCGACGGCGGUGUUUGGCACCUCGAUGUCGGCUCAUCACAUCCUGGGGCUGAAGUAGGUCCCAAGGGUAUGGCUGUUCGCCAUUUAAAGUGGUACGCGAGCUGGGUUUAGAACGUCGUGAGACAGUUCGGUCCCUAUC
This 384-nucleotide ribosomal RNA is filed under the name Escherichia coli. RNAcentral's name for it is "partial 23S ribosomal RNA". It matches the Rfam family "Bacterial large subunit ribosomal RNA", at positions 2259 to 2642 of the family's 2925-position model. Lineage: Bacteria; Pseudomonadati; Pseudomonadota; Gammaproteobacteria; Enterobacterales; Enterobacteriaceae. The record is from RNAcentral.